UACCCUAACCUUUGCCAUGAUCUGACUGGA
This 30-nucleotide non-coding RNA is filed under the name Rattus norvegicus (Norway rat). The record is from RNAcentral. Lineage: Eukaryota; Metazoa; Chordata; Mammalia; Rodentia; Muridae.